Molecule: long non-coding RNA, 1126 nt
Organism: Oncorhynchus tshawytscha (Chinook salmon)
Lineage: Eukaryota; Metazoa; Chordata; Actinopteri; Salmoniformes; Salmonidae
Source: Ensembl
AAGGACAGAGUCUAAGAAGAUCAGAGAAGAGGAAGGACAGAGUCUAAGAAGAUCAGGGAAGAUCAGAGAAGAGGAAGGACAGAGUCUAAGAAAAUCAGAGAAGAUCAGACAAGAGGAAGGACAGAGUCCAAGAAAAUCAGAGAAGAUCAGAGAAGAGGAAGGACAGAGUCUAAGAAGAUCAGAGAAGAUCAGAGAAGAGGAAGGACAGAGUCUAAGAAAAUCAGAGAAGAGCUUAAAGGAAAAACGGAAUGUUGUCUAAUACUGAUCUGAUCUUCAUUCUCUCCACCACCUCAUCCUCUCUCUCUCUCUCUGUCUCUCUCUCUCUCAGGUCUCAUUCCCUCUUUCUCCCAUUCCCUCUCUCUCUCUCUCUCUCAGGUCUCAUUCCCUCUUUCUCUCAUUCCCUCUCUCUCUCUCAGGUCUCAUUCGCUCUUUCUCUCAUUCCCUCUCUCUCUCAGGUCUCAUUCCCUCUCUCUCAGGUCUCAUUCCCUCUCUCUCUCUCAGGACUCAUUCCCUCUUUCUCUCAUUCCCUCUCUCUCUCUCAGGUCUCAUUCCCUCUUUCUCUCAUUCCCUCUCUCUCUCUCAGGUCUCAUUCCCUCUUUCUCUCAUUCCCUCUCUCUCUCUCAGGACUCAUUCUCUCUCUCUCUCAGGUCUCAUUCUCUCUCUCUCUCAGGUCUCAUUCCCUCUCUCUCUCUCUCUCUCUCUCAGGUCUCAUUCCCUCUCUCUCUCUCUCAGGUCUCAUUCCCUCUGUCAGGUCUCAUUCCCUCUCUCUCUCUCUCUCUCUCUCUCUCUCUCAGGUUUCAUUCCCUCUUUCUCUCAUUCCCUCUCUCUCUCUCAGGUCUCAUUCUCUCUCUCUCUCAGGUCUCAUUCUCUCUCUCUCAGGUCUCAUUCCGUCUCUCUCUCUCUCAGGUCUCAUUCCCUCUCUCUCUCUCUCUCUCUCUCUCUCAGGUCUCAUUCCCUCUGUCAGGUCUCAUUCCCUCUCUCUCUCUCUCAGGUCUCAUUCCCUCUCUCUCUCUCUCUCUCUCUCUCUCAGGUCUCAUUCCCCUCUCUCUCUCAGGUCUCAUUCCCCCUCUCUCUCUCUCUCUCUCAGGUCUCAUUCCCUCUCUCUCUCUCUCUCUCUCUCUCUCUC